GAGUUCGAUCCGUUGACCCCCCGGUCAGUGGAUCGGAGCCGGGGAACCACUUCCCGUCUGGGGUGAAUCGCCUCCAAGGACAUGCGCUCGCGCAUGCGGAGGAGGCGUAGGGCAUGUCGUGCCCGAACCCGUCAGCUCACCCGGUAGACGUACGACACACAAGGG
RNAcentral lists this small RNA (165 nucleotides) under Nocardioides sp. RNAcentral describes it as "c-di-AMP sequence". It matches the Rfam family "c-di-AMP riboswitch aptamer (ydaO/yuaA leader)". Rfam says of the family: This family represents a conserved RNA structure found upstream of the ydaO and yuaA genes in Bacillus subtilis and related genes in other bacteria. The ydaO/yuaA element is thought to act as a genetic "off" switch for the ydaO and yuaA genes in its native state. Lineage: Bacteria; Bacillati; Actinomycetota; Actinomycetes; Propionibacteriales; Nocardioidaceae. RNAcentral also lists the same sequence under 1 other name. The record is from RNAcentral.